AUGGCCGCCGCCGCCGCCGCCGGAGACCUCAGGUCGGAGUUCCGCGAGGUGCUCCUCAGCCGCCGCCGCGAACUCCAAGUCCCGGUGCCUACGACCGUGGAGAAAGGGAGCCCGGUGAAGGAGCCACUGUACCAAGGCAACGGGCCUCUGGGGGGCAGAGAGGCCAUGGAGUCGUGCCCGAGGAAGGAGGUGGAGAAUUUCGAGGAGAAGCUGGUUGAGGAAAAUUUCUACCUCAUGACCGAGUCGGGCGAACAGGGACGCCUACCUGUACUUCUACUGAAACUUAACGACGCUGCUCCUGAAAGAAAGCCCGUUGUUGUAAUACUGCACAGCUCUUACAAAUGCAAGGAAUGGUUGCGUCCUCUACUUGAGGCAUAUGCCUCCAGGGGUUAUAUUGCUGUCGCCAUCGAUUCUCGUUAUCACGGUGAAAGGGCCAGCAGCAAGACUACUUACAUAGAGGCACUCAAUUCAGCUUGGAGGAAUGGGGACACUAUGCCUUUUAUUUUUGACACGGUGUGGGACUUGAUAAAGCUUGGAGAUUAUCUUAGUGCAAGGGAGGAUGUCGAUCCCUCUAGGAUAGGGAUUACUGGUGAAUCACUCGUGGGAAUGCAUGCAUGGUUUGCUGCUUUUGUGGAUACACGGUACAGUGUUGUUGUUCCAAUAAUUGGUGUUCAGGGAUUUCAAUGGGCAAUAGAUAAUGACAAGUGGCAAGCUAGAGUUGAUAGCAUUAAGCCUUUAUUUGAAGAAGCAAGAAUUGAUUCAGGGAAGAGUGAAAUAGAUGCAGAGGUUGUGAAAAAGGUUUGGGACAAGAUAGCACCUGGUAUGGCUUCACAGUUUGAUGCUCCCUACUCAGUUCCUCUGAUUGCACCACGUCCGCUCCUCCUCCUAAAUGGUGCUGACGACCCUCGUUGCCCAGUCCUUGGUCUACAAGAACCUGCCUCCAAAGCUGCUAAGGCUUAUGAAGAAGCUGGUUCUGCGGAGAAGUUCAAGGUAACAUGCAAUUUCGUCGCGGAGCCGGGAGUUGGGCACAGGAUGACCGCGAGCAUGGUGAAGGAAGCGAGCGACUGGUUCGACCGCUUUCUCUAG
This 1086-nucleotide ribosomal RNA is filed under the name Triticum aestivum (bread wheat). RNAcentral describes it as "partial small subunit ribosomal RNA". The record is from RNAcentral. Lineage: Eukaryota; Viridiplantae; Streptophyta; Magnoliopsida; Poales; Poaceae.